This 212-nucleotide ribosomal RNA is filed under the name Craterostigmus tasmanianus. RNAcentral's name for it is "partial 18S ribosomal RNA". Lineage: Eukaryota; Metazoa; Arthropoda; Chilopoda; Craterostigmomorpha; Craterostigmidae. The record is from RNAcentral.
GGUGCCGGUCUGGCGGUCCGCCUCGCCGCGGUCUCACUGCCAGUCCCGGAGCCAUCCCGCCGGCCUUCCCUCGGUGCUCUUUACCGAGUGUCUUGGGUGACCGGAACGUUUACUUUGAACAAAUUUUUAGUGCUCCAAGCAGGCGCGUCCCGCCCGCAUAGCCCAUCAUGGAAUAAUGGAAUAGGACCUCGGUUCUAUUUUGUUGGUUUUCG